Ictalurus punctatus (channel catfish) is the source of this 1245-nucleotide long non-coding RNA. The record is from Ensembl. Lineage: Eukaryota; Metazoa; Chordata; Actinopteri; Siluriformes; Ictaluridae.
GCUGUUUCGAGCCUUACCCUGUAUGGCGUCUCUCUGGUGCCUCUGCAUCUCAAGCUCGGCCAUUUGGCUAAGCAGGGCCAUGCCCGCAGCAGCAGCAGACUCCAAAAGACUGAUUCCUGGGCAAUGCAUCAUCUCGGUAGGGGUCAUUUCAGCCAUGGUGGUAAGGACUCCAGAUUGGGGCAGCUCACUCGCUGUUAGCAGUGCCAGCAUGCCUGCCAUGGGGUCCUCAGUUUGGAUGGCUGCUGGCGCAGGGCCAGGCAGGAGCACAGGAGGAGUGGGGCAUGGAAGCGGUAUAUCACUGUGUGUCGAUUCCAGGUCUGGAGUGUCAUGGGUGGGUUCUUUGGGCUUGGGUGCAGAAAUGAGCCUCUCUGUGUGAACUGAAGGCGAGUCUGUGGGACGAAUGCUGCAGUCUAUGGGUUGCAUGUCGGUGUAAUUGGAGGAGGACGUGAAGGCCGACUCUGGCAAGUUGAGAGAGCUCUUUGAAACCUCUGCUGCCGGGCUCACAUCCAAGUCUGAUCCUGAUCUUUGGUACAACUUUUGUGGAGUAGAUGAGAAUAGAUCUGCCUUGUCAUCUUCUUUGCUCUCCUCAGGCAGUGGUGAGGCUGCAGCUCUUGAGCAGGCCUCUGCUUCAACAGGAGUACAUGAGUCCUGACUGGAAAUUGAAGCAACAGAGUGGAUAGACUGUGUGAUACAAUCCUGACCCAAAACAUCCUUGCUGUUCUCCAGUCCUGGCUCCUCUUUAAAUGGCACCACACUCUCUUCUACUCGCUUGGGCUCUCUGGAUGCCUGCAGAGCUUCUGCCACCACUGGUGAACACAUGUGACUGGGUUUUACACUGGCCGGGCUGGCUAAGCGCUUCGAGCCCUCGGCCUGCAGCGGCACAGCUGGAGCCAGGCCUUCUGCAUCAGCAGCUGUGGCAGGCUGAAGAAGGUAGGGGUAAUGGCUGCCGAAAGAUGCUGUUAUUGAUUGGUAGGGGUAGCCUGGAGGAAUUUCUGCCAAAACAAAACAAAAAGGAGAGAGCAGUCUGAGAGACUUAAAGUGCUUAUGCAAGGAGCAGAGGGCCUUGGUUCUCCAUGACAGAGUGACAAAAUGAUUAAUCAUCCCACAUGCUCUUCCAGCUUUAUGAAACUUUCAUGAGCCAAAUGGUCCCAGUACAAGCAUUCCAAACGCCCUUAUGUAUACGCCCCCACCCCCAAGGUCUAAUACAUGCACGCAUGCUCAUACGUUCACACUGCAGAGAUUGCA